This is a long non-coding RNA of Hyaena hyaena (striped hyena), 271 nucleotides long. RefSeq lists it as uncharacterized. Lineage: Eukaryota; Metazoa; Chordata; Mammalia; Carnivora; Hyaenidae. The transcript has 3 exons. The record is from RefSeq and is a predicted model, not a curated record.
GUUGUGAAGUUUGGUCUCACACCUGCGGUUAGGGUCAUUCGUAGCAAGCUUGUGUUCAGUUCUGUAGAAAGCAGGGAACCGCGGCCACCCCAAGCUGCAAUGAACGUCUGCUUCAGCGUGGUUAUUCAGUAAAGAGAGAGGCCAGGCCACGAGAGCGCGUCCAGACCCAACAGAUGGAAGCUGCCAGGAGACCAAUUUAGACUUGAUUAAAGUGCAAUAUGGGGAAAGCAGUUGAAAAUGCCGGGAAGAAGAGAUGACUCUUAAUCCCUGC